This 72-nucleotide transfer RNA is filed under the name Anaerolineales bacterium. Its description in RNAcentral is "tRNA-Gly". It matches the Rfam family "tRNA". Rfam says of the family: Transfer RNA (tRNA) molecules are approximately 80 nucleotides in length. The record is from RNAcentral. Lineage: Bacteria; Bacillati; Chloroflexota; Anaerolineae; Anaerolineales.
GCGGGUAUAGCUCAGUUGGUAGAGCGCCAGCCUUCCAAGCUGGAUGCACGGGUUCGAGUCCCGUUACCCGCU